Molecule: long non-coding RNA, 731 nt
Organism: Mytilus californianus (California mussel)
Lineage: Eukaryota; Metazoa; Mollusca; Bivalvia; Mytilida; Mytilidae
Exons: 4
Source: RefSeq, a predicted model, not a curated record
UAAGACUAAAGAUGUAGAGAACUUUCUAACAAGUUGUAUAAAGUUUUAAUUCUGAUAAUUAUUUGACUUUGUCCAUUCCGCUUACUGUUAUUUACAGACACAUACAUGUAUUAUUUACGCUAUAUGACGCAUAAUUUCCGGAAGAGCUUAAAAUAUUUAAUUACAAAUGAACUGAAGUGAAAUUCAAGAACAUCUUGUGUGAAGAGCUUUUGACGUUCUUAAAACGGAAAUCGUCACUUUCUGAAGAAGGCGUUUGAUCACAAGUAUAUUAAAGUAAAUACACAUAAAGGGAAAUUUGACAUAGCAUCGUAUAUGAUCAGUGAUCUACGAGAUAUCUACAUCAUAAAAGCUGUAAAUUGUUCUGGGAACCACAAUCAUGAAGAUGCCAAUACUAUCUUGUAUCAUCUGGCUGGUUAUAACUGUGGAUCUUGCACUUUCAGUACCAACUGCCUACAGACAAAAAAGAUGGGAUUGGUUUUCGAGGGCAAGUGAAUUGUAUCACAAUGUCAGAGAUCACAUAAGUGAUUCCGUUGACACCGUUGGAGAUUUGGCUGAUACUAUAGGUGUCCAUGCACGGGAACACCUUAAUCUGGCUGCAGACCAUUUAGAAGACAUAGGAGUUCCACGUGAAAGAAUUGAUGAAGCAGGCGAAAGACUGAAUAAUAUAACAAGUCAGGCGGUUCAGAGAGGACAGGAAAUAAUUGAGAAUGGCAAAAAUGAACUUUCCAGAG